Molecule: ribosomal RNA, 510 nt
Filed under: uncultured bacterium
Lineage: Bacteria
Description: partial 16S ribosomal RNA
Rfam family: Bacterial small subunit ribosomal RNA
Source: RNAcentral
GACGAACGCUGGCGGCGUGCUUAACACAUGCAAGUCGAACGAAGAGCGAUGGAAGCUUGCUUCUAUCAAUCUUAGUGGCGAACGGGUGAGUAACGCGUAAUCAACCUGCCCUUCAGAGGGGGACAACAGUUGGAAACGACUGCUAAUACCGCAUACGAUCUAAUCUCGGCAUCGAGGAUAGAUGAAAGGUGGCCUCUACAUGUAAGCUAUCACUGAAGGAGGGGAUUGCGUCUGAUUAGCUAGUUGGAGGGGUAACGGCCCACCAAGGCGAUGAUCAGUAGCCGGUCUGAGAGGAUGAACGGCCACUUUGGGACUGAGACACGGCCCAGACUCCUACGGGAGGCAGCAGUGGGGAAUCUUCCGCAAUGGACGAAAGUCUGACGGAGCAACGCCGCGUGAGUGAUGACGGCCUUCGGGUUGUAAAGCUCUGUUAAUCGGGACGAAAGGCCUUCUUGCGAACAGUUAGAAGGAUUGACGGUACCGGAAUAGAAAGCCACGGCUAACUACGUG